GGGCGGUGUCAAUCUCCCACUGCUUCCGCCUGCAGUAGUUCUGGCUGUGGCACGGAGGUGACGCAGAGCGCAGAGCAUGGUCAUAGGGGAAACCGUGAGGGCGCUCUGUAAGGCCCGUGCUAAGAGCAUGCCCAAGGUGUGGGGUGGAAGGCGGGGAUUGGCUCCGGGUUAGGUUCCUCCGGUCCUUGUCCGAUGUGCCGCCUACCGGAUGUGACUUUCCUAGGCCCCGGCCAGGAUUUAGGCCCUAUACUGCAAUGAUUCUGCCACCGGAAAGGAGGUUGUGAGCUGGUGACCUGUCUCCUUUCAAAAGUACCAAGUGAUAAGACAAGAGAAAAUGAACUCAGGCUGCACCAGAGUUAGAUAGUGUGGGACAAUGUCAGAUCUAGCUGGCACAAACCCUUUGGGAGGAAGCAAAGAAAAUUGAGGAAUCCAAGGAAAAGUAAAAUCUGCAUCGGAAGAAGGUCAGGGUGUUGAUCCAUCCUCAUCCUUGGUGAUGGAUCCUGGCUCCUGGCUCAUGUCUCCCAACAUGUCCCAGCCCCCUGCAUGCUUCCAGUG
This is a long non-coding RNA of Melopsittacus undulatus (budgerigar), 555 nucleotides long. RefSeq lists it as uncharacterized. The record is from RefSeq and is a predicted model, not a curated record. The transcript has 3 exons. Lineage: Eukaryota; Metazoa; Chordata; Aves; Psittaciformes; Psittaculidae.